This 1220-nucleotide long non-coding RNA is filed under the name Anser brachyrhynchus (Pink-footed goose). RNAcentral describes it as "lncRNA (ENSABRG00000014057.1)". The record is from RNAcentral. Lineage: Eukaryota; Metazoa; Chordata; Aves; Anseriformes; Anatidae.
GCCCGCGGCUGGUGGUCACAGGGGCCGGCCCGGGGGGGUCCCCGCAGUGUCCCUCUUUUGGGGGAAAGCAAGGCGUAGGCGCUACGGGGUGCUUGGGGGAAAGGGGAGCAGCCCCCACGUACCGGCAGCGUGAGCACCGGGGACCCUGCAUCCCCCCAGCAAAGCUGCCCUGGUGCUGCUUGCCAAGCCCAGGGUGGGGGGACACGUCCAGGAGAAGCAGCACCUCCGAGGAGAGGUGGGCUCCAGCCCCAAGGGGACGAGGGGUGUCCGUCCCCAGGCAGGCAGACCCCGGUUCCCCCCUCUCCCCCCCUCCCCUCCCCGCUCCCCUCCUUCCUUUGCACAUCGCUCUUCAGUUUGCAUUUCAUGACUUUUUCUUUUCUGUUCUGUCCCUCCGGGUCACCGAGUUGGUCUCAAUAAAGCGUUUUCUCUCCUUGGUUUCUCCCUCGUUUUCUUCAUGCUGCUCUGGCUCCCCACGCUCACCCCUCAUCGCCUGCUCUCUCACGCCGGCUCUCGGACACAGCUUUCCUCAUCUUCUGCCACCUUCCAAGACGUUCUCCAUCGCUCCUUCGGCCUGAAUUAGUAGGGUUAGACCUGGUCCUGUCUGCUCCCCAUCCUCACUCCCGGACACCACGACAACCUCUCACAGCCCCGACGUCUCCUCUGUCUCCCUCUCGCGCCAACAGGGCUGUCCCUACUGUGCGGCAACAAUUCCUGGCCCUAAAUGGGUCCCCAAUCCUCACCCCUCAGCAUCCUGCCCUCUCCCCAAACUCAGAAUUGAUGGUCCCAGGACCGGCUGCCUCCUCCCGCCGUCCCCACUGGUCCCCAGUGCCCACCAGUGGCUCUCGCAGGCAGCACUGUCUCUUUUCACUAACUCUCUUUUCUCUCUCUCUCCCCCUUUGCUGCGCUGACGUCUCUCCGUUUUCUCUAGAGCGCUCCCGGCAGGAGGCCGAGAAAAACCGCGUUCUCACUAACGAGCUGCGGGUCAUCCUUACCGAACUUAACAACUGAGCUAAGGCAGCUCCAGCCCCAGCACAGCCUCUCACCCACAGGGCACCCCCAGCCCCGACUGCCCCCCUGCCCCGUUUUGGCCAGGCUGGUUUGGGGCUGGGAGCCCCUGCCCGCUCCCCGCUGGGAUAACCGCCCUGCUGGGGGGGACAGGGAGCCCCUGGGGAGCUGAUGUUUUUUUUGGGGGGGAGAGGGAUGAGGGGUUUUGCCAUGUC